Molecule: long non-coding RNA, 471 nt
Filed under: Pan troglodytes (chimpanzee)
Lineage: Eukaryota; Metazoa; Chordata; Mammalia; Primates; Hominidae
Description: long non-coding RNA NONPTRT007760
Source: RNAcentral
UGCAAAGGCCCUUUGAGGAAGUAACAUGUGAUCCAAACCUAAGUGACAAGAAGGGGUAGGUCAUGUGAAGGCAGAGAACAGAUCAUAGCAAGGAACCUGCUUAUUUUACAUGAAAGAACUCCUAUUUUCUGCAUUGUAUCUUUAGGAAAAUCCACAAUUAGAAUAUAUUUCAUCCAUGUAUCUCAAAACAUAAUUUUUAGUGCAAGAGAGAAUUGUCUAACCCCUUCAUCUUCCAGAUCGGAAGACAAAGGCACUGACUUACCCAAGUCCCUGUCAGUGACCUUCCAGGACCCAGACUAUCAGGCGAGGGUGGCCUUCUACAUUAACUGCUUGGAAGCAAGCCUUCCCACUUCUUUUCUUGAGAUGACUUAUUUCACUACAAGAAAUUUGUGAUAUAGGCAUAAUGAACCAUUUGCCCAAGGCUUAAUAUAAAGAAUUAGUGCCAUUAGCACCAUGGAGAUAAGAAUUUGA